RNAcentral lists this ribosomal RNA (326 nucleotides) under Nectophrynoides cf. viviparus HCL-2014. RNAcentral's name for it is "partial 12S ribosomal RNA". It matches the Rfam family "Bacterial small subunit ribosomal RNA", at positions 879 to 1373 of the family's 1533-position model. Lineage: Eukaryota; Metazoa; Chordata; Amphibia; Anura; Bufonidae. The record is from RNAcentral.
ACUACGAGCCAAGCUUAAAACCCAAAGGACUUGACGGUACCCCAUAUCCCCCUAGAGGAGCCUGUUCUGUAAUCGAUAAUCCACGUUUAACCUCACCAUUUUUAGUUAAUCAGCCUGUAUACCUCCGUCGUCAGCUUACCACGUGAGCGUUAGUAAGUGAGCCCAAUGUAUUUCACCAAAACGUCAGGUCAAGGUGCAGUAAAUGAGAUGGAAAGAGAUGGGCUACACUUUCUACUUUAGAAAAAAACGAAAAACUACCUAUGAAAUCUAGUUAGAAGGCGGAUUUAGUAGUAAGAAGGAAUCAGCAUGUCCAUUUUAACCCGGCA